GUCCACAAGUCUCAGCUAGGGCAACGUCAAAGGCUCUCUGAAACAACCCCCCCAAACACCACCAACGAAAACGGGAUUCGAAGGGAAAACAAACAAACAAACAAACACAAAUUCGGUUGGGGCAGUCCCGGCAGGGGAGGGCUCCUGAUAUACCUAACAGGCCAACAAAAAACCUCCAAUAGAGAAAGGCUAAGAGAGCUCGACACCACAAGACGUCUUGCAACCACCUUAAAACAACUGACCUCCACCACCUGUCCCUUCCUGGGCUGGUCCAGGGGAGAAGUAGCCUUAUAAAGAAAAGGGAUCCCGCACAAGCCUGAUCACCACUGCAGGGGCCCGGGAUAGUCCGGCGAAACGACCAAAGCGUUAGCGUUGCCACGACACACAGCUCCUAGACCCUCCAGAAAACCGCAGGGGGAGGAUUGUAGCCCGCGUGGCGCCUCCCCCUUACCGCCACUAACCUGAACGGUUGGUCCUCCAGAAACCUAUUCACCCUGUCUCGUACUGCACCGCUCUCACCUUCGUCCCUCACCAAGCAACCCAGUCCCACAGAGAAGACGUGUCUAGAUAGAAUGGCCCUCCUCGGGCCACACCUCCCCCUCAUCCGAGCCCCGCUACCACCACCAGACCUCAACCUCCCAAACACCAGAAAACCUACGUCCUUUUGGCGCUCUCACCGCCAUCUCCCCCCUCCCCUGUCCGAGCGACCCCACCUCCCCCCGGCUCUCCAGCCCCCUACAACCUCGGAGCGGCACUAGGGAAGAAAAAGGGUUCUUCCCUGCACGACGUGACCGCCUCCAUUCCCCGUCCUACUCCUCUCCCUCUCCCGCCUCGGGGUUCCCUCUCACCUAUUCCCUCGUCCUCCAACCCCCAUCCCCUUCGAACUCCUAUACCCCCCCCAGCCCUGCCCUACAAACUCAGCUCAAAGCGCUCUUAGGCAAUAAUCUCCACCGCUUCGGCGCACCGCAGUGCGCCUUCUGAAACCGACAGGAUCGGGUGGUCGGGUCCCACCCUGUCCCAGCCUCUCCGCGGGGUGCCCAGCGCCGUGAAGGAGCGC
RNAcentral lists this long non-coding RNA (1057 nucleotides) under Volvox carteri. RNAcentral describes it as "long non-coding RNA (VCAR_LNC000123)". Lineage: Eukaryota; Viridiplantae; Chlorophyta; Chlorophyceae; Chlamydomonadales; Volvocaceae. The record is from RNAcentral.